This 495-nucleotide ribosomal RNA is filed under the name uncultured bacterium. RNAcentral's name for it is "bacterial SSU rRNA". It matches the Rfam family "Bacterial small subunit ribosomal RNA", at positions 39 to 511 of the family's 1533-position model. The record is from RNAcentral.
GCGGCGUGCCUACCAUGCAAGUCGUACGAGAAAAUCCGCUUCGGCGGGUGAGUAGAGUGGCGCACGGGUGCGUAACGCGUGGAUAAUCUGCCUUUAAGCCGGGAAUAACCCAUCGAAAGGUGGGCUAAUACCCGAUAAUGCUAUGGAGCUUCGGUUUUAUAGCCAAAGAGAGCCUCUGCUUGCAAGCCCUCACUUAGAGAUGAGUCCGCGUACCAUUAGCUAGUUGGCAGGGUAAUGGCCUACCAAGGCGACGAUGGUUAGCUGGUCUGAGAGGAUGAUCAGCCACACUGGAACUGAGACACGGUCCAGACUCCUACGGGAGGCAGCAGUGAGGAAUAUUGCGCAAUGGGGGCAACCCUGACGCAGCAACGCCGCGUGAGUGAGGAAGGUUUUCGGAUCGUAAAGCUCUGUCGGGUGGGAAGAAGUGUAUGGAGGUUAAUGAGCCUUUGUACUUGACGGUACCGCCAAAGGAAGCAGCGGCUAACUCCGUGCCAG